UUCUGCAUCUUAAAGGGAAGACGAGUUGCCUUCAUCGGAGGCCGAAGUUCGAGCCUCCCUCGCUGCGCGGCGUGGCGGAAAUCCUGGAGGGGCAGGGCAGCCGGCUCGGACCCGGACCGGGCCCCAGGGCCCCCAAGAAGCUCUAACGGGGUCGUUUGGGAUGGGUACAAGAUCGUCCUUCUUUACUCAGCGAGGAGAGAACUUAACGGAACUGGUGACCCCCCUCCUGAAGGACCAGGACCUGAGUCUCCUCCUUAGGUUGACUGUUCCCCAGCCUGGGGACUGAGAGAGUUGCCUCCGACCUCGGAGCGUCUCCGCACCUGCGCCCGGUGCCUUCCCUAGCAUUCCAGGCGCCCGGGGGCUCAACACCCGCCGCAAGGGAACAAUUGGCGCGAACUAGACCAGGACAGGUUGGGGGGCGAGGUGCUGCCUCAGGAAGAGGUGAUCCGAGUCUUUGAGAGCAGGCGGUCACGUGAACGAGCGGAGCGAGCGAGCGCGCGCCGAAAGCCAGCGCGAAAGAAAGCCCACAGACAGAACUACCGACAAAGAGCCCAGGAGGGAGGCCUGCCGGGACUGCGAGCGAAAGGAGGAGCGGGAGGGCGGAGGGCUGGGAGGACUGGCCCUCCGCCUCUUUUUCCCUUUCCUCCCCUGCCUCAACAUUAUGGUCUCACACUUACGGAGCCCAGUGACCAUAGGGGACCCGGAGAUCCUGUGCUUCCGCCGAAGGAGCCUUGAUUAUCCCGGGGUCUGCCGCUGGCAGCUAGGUUGCCGCUUCCCCACUUCUGAAACGACAGAAUCAGCUGUAAUCGGUCCGAUUCUUCUGCUAGGCCCUCAUUGGUGCUGAUUACUGGGAAUUGGUUAUAAUUUUCUCAAGUGCUACCGGUUCAGUGAAAACUUCCCUCAGCUAACUUUUUCCAUUGGGGAAGUACAGACCAGGUGGAAAUGAAGUCAUCCUGUCCCCUGUCCCCCUGCCCUACAGGUGGCCACCCACUUGAGGAAGAAGCUGAAGAUGCCCUUGGUCACACAACUACGAAGUAGGGGGUGGAGCUGAGAUUUGGUCGCAGCUCCAUCUGGCUCCAGAGUGGAAACUUCAGUUUAUCCACUAUGCUCCCUGGUGCUCAGUGGCAAACAAUAAGACCAUUAGCAACCUAGAAGGAAAUGGGUGAAUAUUCCCCUGGUCCUGAAUGGAUGGGAAGUCUUUCUAGGCAUAAAGGUAAACAAAGAAACAAUAAAGGACAAAAAUGUAUAUUUGGCUAUGUAAAAAUGUAAAACUUACAUAUUUUAACCCCCUUUACCCAUUUCUUCUAGCCUC
Long non-coding RNA from Manis javanica (Malayan pangolin), 1312 nucleotides. RefSeq lists it as uncharacterized. The record is from RefSeq and is a predicted model, not a curated record. NCBI's taxonomy places the organism in Eukaryota, Metazoa, Chordata, Mammalia, Pholidota, Manidae.